AGAACGAACGCUGGCGGCGCGUUUAAGCAUGCAAGUCGAGCGGCAAGGGCCUUCGGGCCCUAGAGCGGCGGACGGGUGAGUAACACGUGGACAAUCUGCCCCCGGCCCGGGAUAGCCCAGGGAAACCUGGAUUAAUAUCGGAUGAGACGGGACCCGCGAAGGCGGGACCCGGAAAGGCGCUGCGGCGCCGCCGGGGGAUGAGUCUGCGUCCCAUUAGCUAGACGGCGGGGUAACGGCCCACCGUGGCGACGAUGGGUAGCCGGCCUGAGAGGGUGGACGGCCACAUUGGAACUGAGACACGGUCCAGACUCCUACGGGAGGCAGCAGCUAAGAAUCUUCCGCAAUGGGCGAAAGCCUGACGGAGCGACGCCCGCGUGAACGAAGAAGGCCGUGAGGUUGUAAAGUUCUUUUCGGGAGGGGGAACAACCGUGGCAGGGAAUGGCCGCGGGAUGACGUGAAUCCCGGAAUAAGCCCCGGCUAACUACGUGCCAGCCGCAGC
RNAcentral lists this ribosomal RNA (499 nucleotides) under uncultured bacterium. Its description in RNAcentral is "bacterial SSU rRNA". It matches the Rfam family "Bacterial small subunit ribosomal RNA", at positions 26 to 518 of the family's 1533-position model. The record is from RNAcentral.